CAAAGGACUGAUGUCACAACAACCCCCUGAAAAACUGUGAUUCAAAAAUAAUUCCUUAUAUGCCAUCACUUACACACAUUAGUGUAUGUACAGCAUAAUUGCAUCUGUUUUCCUUAAAUUGAACUGAUUAUUGGAAGCAACCUAAUUUUAAGUCCGUCACUGUGCAGAUUAACAUUUGGUUGUCUUUUGGGAGGUUUCAAUAGCCUAUACUGCUUAUUUUGUGUGAAACAAGAGUAAAUGCCUGUGAAAGAUCAUUCUUUUAUGUAAGCAAUAUGUUUCAUUCUGAGAUAACAAAAGCUACCAACAAAUACUCUGUAUUUUACACAUACAGUGGUCCUACUGAAAUGCUUUUUUAUUCAAGUACAACUUUAAAUUAGAUGUUUAUUUUUUAUCUUUUUUUUUUAAUAAAUAACAUGAUAUACAGUGCAAGUUCAAUCCUUGGCACUGUUCCAGUCUGACCACAAACUUUGCAGUAACAUUCAUUUCGUGUACUCAAGAUGCUGGUACUUACUCACCUCUCGUUUGUAAAUACAGGUAGUCAAAAUUAGAGGCCACAUCUUAGAUGUGGCUCUGAGCUGGUAGUAGAAGACUAGAACUGAACUGCUGACUGACAGCAAGAUAUUCUAUCACAGGUACCCCAGAACAUAAGGGAGUGGGGAUGGCUACUUGAAAGAAAACAGAACUUCCCCCCAUCCCCUCCCACACAGCCACCAUCUCUGCUGAUCAACUUGGUCUCUAUACUGCUGUUCCAUGGCCUUCUCCUGCUUCUGGAGGCAGAAAUCUAAGUUCGCCUCUCCUUCCUAACCCAAACAGUCACAUUCGCCAGCUGCCAAGCAACUACUGAAAAUCUAAGAAUGCUCAGAUGAUAAUUACUGAAGCAUCAUGAUAUGUAUCAUUCACAAUAUAAAUAUUUUGGCCUCCUUAACCUCAAAAUAAAGCUACAUCAUGCACUGCAGGGAAUCACAUCAAGG
Molecule: long non-coding RNA, 971 nt
Organism: Chiroxiphia lanceolata (lance-tailed manakin)
Lineage: Eukaryota; Metazoa; Chordata; Aves; Passeriformes; Pipridae
Exons: 3
Source: RefSeq, a predicted model, not a curated record